GCUCGGGUAGCCCAAUGGCAGAGGCACGCCGCUCAGAACGGCGCCAGUGCGCGUUCGAAUCGCGCUCCGAGUAC
This 74-nucleotide transfer RNA is filed under the name Paractinoplanes abujensis. RNAcentral's name for it is "tRNA-Leu". It matches the Rfam family "tRNA". Rfam says of the family: Transfer RNA (tRNA) molecules are approximately 80 nucleotides in length. Their secondary structure includes four short double-helical elements and three loops (D, anti-codon, and T loops). Lineage: Bacteria; Bacillati; Actinomycetota; Actinomycetes; Micromonosporales; Micromonosporaceae. The record is from RNAcentral.